This 1614-nucleotide long non-coding RNA is filed under the name Homo sapiens (human). RNAcentral describes it as "HSALNT0244317". The record is from RNAcentral. Lineage: Eukaryota; Metazoa; Chordata; Mammalia; Primates; Hominidae.
GCAUUUGGAAGAAUUCGUUUUAGCCUUCUCAAAAGCCAGGAAGACAAUAUGAGUUUGAAUAUUACAAAAAAAUUAGUCAUUCUCUUACGAGUUAGUUUUAUGUUCCAUAAAGUCACCACAAACACUGCAUUGGCAAAUACUGAACAUUGCUCCUAGGGGAAAUACAGGGUUAGGUUGCUGGGAGUCUCUAGUUACAUUUUUAUUGACCGAUCAAUACAUAAUCUUGCUGUGUGCGUGUUUUAUGUUAACGCAUGUUUAAGACACUUUAUUUAAUAUAUACUGAUUCAUUAACAUUGUACUCAUGGCAAACAGCACUGUAACCCAGACCUAAAAGAAACAUCCAAUAUACAUAUUUUCUACAUAUGGCACAACACAGCCUUCUUUCACUUAGGAACACUAGUCAGCACUUCAUCACUACACUUAGGGGCUUUUAAUAGUGAAAUCACCAACAACAAAAAAAAUACAAAAAUGCAAAAAAAAAAAAAAAAAAGGCACUAAAAAGACCCAAGAAAAGGACACUUAUUCACAGUAUGAAAGAUGAGCAUCCCUUUGUUCCACCUCAGUUGGGAACAUGUGUGUUGGGAGGCUCAAACUUUUCACUUCCCAGCUCAUGUCUGCAAAAGCCCUGUGACUAUUGAUUUUGGGGUUACAAAUAAAGUUUAGCAAGUAGGUAAAUUACAAAUACAGAAUCCAUGAAUGAUAAGGAUCAACAGUUAACUCAUUUGAGAUUAACGAAGAUUAAAAAAAGCCCACCAUCUAGUGGCAACCUUUAAAAUCACACAGCUACUUAAGCAAAAUUGGCAGAACUUUCACAAAAUGAAAAAAUCUUACUCAGUGGUUUUGGUUUUAGGUGUAGUCCAGAUGAAGUCACAGCUCUGAACUUAUGUCAAGAAACAAAUGUUAGCGGUACAUGUACAUAACAAUGCUGCUUUCUAUGUAAAAAUCACAUAGCAUAGGAAGGAAGAGAUUUAAGAAAUUCACAUAGCUACAGCGUUUACUGAUAGCUAUUAUAAUAAUACCUUUGGGAGACGGGCACGCUGGCUCACACCUGUAAUGCUAGCACUUUGGGAGGCUAAGGUGGGCAAACUGAGCUUAGGAGUUCGAGACCAGCCUAGGCUACAUGGCAAAACCCCACCUCUACUAAAAAUACAAAAAACUAGCUGGGUGUGAUGGCACACAUCUGUAGUCCCAGCUAUUCCAGAGGCUGAGGUACAAGAAUCACUUGAAUCUGGGAAGCAGAGAGGCUGCAGUGAUCAUGCCACUUCACUCUAGCCUGGGUGACAGAGUGAGACCAUCUUAGAUAGACAGAUCGAUAAAUAGACAAAUAGACAGAUAAAAACGUACCUUUGGGGACAAAUUAAAUGGUUAUCUAGCCAUUGCUUCUUGAUGUUGUCUUAGCCCAUCUAAACAUACACUGCCAGGGCCUAACAUAAGUACAAAAGGUUCAGCUAUUAUUUGUGGUUAGAGAUAAAGUAGUAUGAAGAAAACUGACAUGCUACUUCAAUUUUUAAAUGUCAAUAUUUAAAUCAUUAAAAAAUAAAAGAAACAAAAAAAAGAGUCUACUUGGGCCACUGUUUAGAGAGAAUUCAACUAUAACCAGGACUGUCAACCCAG